GAGGCUCGCGCGCGCCGCGGUGGCGUUCGGCCGUCCCGGGCGGGCGGCCUCGAAUCGAACGGGCGAGCAACGGCCGUUCCUGGCGGCCUGCGCCCCG
This 97-nucleotide transfer RNA is filed under the name Burkholderia pseudomallei. RNAcentral describes it as "tRNA-Arg(ccg)". Lineage: Bacteria; Pseudomonadati; Pseudomonadota; Betaproteobacteria; Burkholderiales; Burkholderiaceae. The record is from RNAcentral.